GGGUCGCUAGCUCAGUUGGUUAGAGCGCAUCCCUGAUAAGGAUGAGGUCGCUGGUUCGAUUCCAGCGCGACCCACCA
RNAcentral lists this transfer RNA (77 nucleotides) under bacterium. Its description in RNAcentral is "tRNA-Ile". It matches the Rfam family "tRNA". From Rfam's summary of the family: Transfer RNA (tRNA) molecules are approximately 80 nucleotides in length. RNAcentral also lists the same sequence under 1 other name. The record is from RNAcentral.